UUCUUUUUAAAGUUUUUAUUACAGAAAGACUAAAAUAGGAAAAAAAUGGGAGUGUGAUGUAAUUGGACCAAGUAUCCACUGCCCCAAUGUAAUACUUAUUAAUUCAUAGUCAUUGGUAUUUUAGCUUUACUUCCAACACCUGCUGGAUGAUUUUAAAGCAAAUUUCAGAUACCAUAUAAUUUAAUCCACAGAUAUAGUACUUACUAUUAAACUAGAAGAGUACUUUGAAAUCUAGUCAUGAAAUGCCUUUGUUGGUACUUUUCUUUCCAAAGUUUUAUCUAAAGCCAACUGUGGCGUAGUUAACUGUGGUCUGACAAAUGGCACAGAUCUGCUGCCUCUUUUUGCAAUGAAAGCAUUGAUGUUAGGUCUGGUGCUUUCUGCCAUUGAACUAUUCAUUGUCCUUCCACAAAUUUUAUCCACUGAUUUGAAACCUUAGCUUAAGCUCUACGGUUUCAAUAGUGCUGGCCAUCAUUUUAGAUUGCUGUGUAGUUUCAAAGACUAAAACACUGUUGCAAAAUUUAAAUAUUUUUUAAUAAUUGAUUUUUUUCUUGUCAUAAUCCAGGCAGGGUCCUGAGUAGUACUUGACUGGUAAUUUCUCUUUUAUUUCUAUAAUUUUGUUUUGAGUGGAAGAGCUUAAUAAUUCUACACGUGCAUCAGAAUAUCAUUUAUUGAAUUAAAAUCAACAUGGGCAUUCUCCAUAUAUUUUCUAUACAUUGUAGAAGAAAGUGUUAAAAGAGGCUUUUGAGCAGUUACUUGUGUAAGGAAUGUGGUCAGCAUCAGUUCCCUUAGACCUGGAGUUAAAGGUGUGUGUGAGUCAUCUGAUGUGGUUCUGGGAACUGAAUUCAGAUUCUCUGCAAGAACAUUAAAUGUUUUUAAGUGCUGGCCCAUCUUUCCAGCCCGCCAAUGUUUUCUAUUCCUAAAUCUUAUGAUGCCACAGUGUAGUGUUUUCAUUAAAGGAGGGUAUCUUAUUUUCUACAACUUUAUUUGAAGGGUUUUUAUUGGGAGAUGAGAGAAGGAUUGGUGGAUAAAACAUUUGCCCCACAAGAGUCAAGAUCCCAAGAAUCCAUGUUAAAGCUGGACAGGUGUGGCACCUUACCUGUAAUCCCAGAAUUCAGAAAGCAGAGAAAGGAAGUAUCUGGGGCAAGUUGGUUAACUAUACUAGCCAGAACUGUUGAACUCUGGGUUAGUGGGAGACCCCGCCUCAAUAGAAAAAAAAUGGAGAAUCAUCAAGGAAGAUACCUGUUGUCAACUCUUAGUCUCUACAUACACAAGCACACAUAUGUGUAGGUACCUCUGCACACAAACCUGUGUGCCCAUACAUAUAGACACACACAUAAUAGACAACUUUUUACUUAUAUAAUAAUAAGUGAGAUUGGUUUGCCAUUUUGUGAUACUGUUAAGUUUUAACAUCAGCACUAUGACGUUUCCCUUUGGGCAUCUUGAUUGGGCUUGUUAUUGUUACUUAGGAGUUAUUUCAGGAAAUUUCCACGUGCUCAGCAACUAGCAUAGUGCUCCUGGAACAGGUUACCUAUGUAUUCAAGUCUAUGGUGUCAUGACGGUGAUAUUGUCUAGGGUUUUUGUAAUGAAUUCCCUUUUCUGCUGAUUUAAAGAACAAAUAGUCAGGAAAAACAAGGUCUAAGUACCAGGUCAGAUUUUUACUGUUGAAACACACACACACACACACACACACACACACACACACACACACACACACCCCAACAUAUACAAAGAGGCAGACUCCCCAAGAAGGAAAGAGGACCCAGAGUUGGUGUCUGAGAUUGCUGAGAGAAUGGGAGAUGUUGUCUUUGGCAAUGGGAUGAGUUCCCUUUCUCUCACAGAACUGGCUGGUUUGGGUUAUUGCAAGGGAUUGGAUUCUAAUCCAGAUAAAGAAGGGAAGCUGGUUGGUUUCCAACACGGGAGCCACACACAAUCCUCUUGGGCAACUUCAAAGUCCCACAAAACAGUUUCCUAUAGGAGGAAAAUAUCUACCAAGACUUUGUCUUCGAGAAGAACAGGAAGUCAGUCAUAUUAAAUGCUUAAGUGAAAAGGAUAUUAAUCUACCAAGAGCCUCUUUCCCUUGCCUGCCGCAGGGGAUGUGUCUAACUCCUAGUCUACCAUUUUAGUAUUGGACAAAUUGAUACAAACAUUGUUUGAGCCUAGAGCAGAGGGUGGAGAGGACUCAACCUCUGGGGAAGGGAGGUAGCUGGGUGGUGGGAGGAAGUUUGAGAGAGAAAUUGCAUAGACAAGUGUCCGACGAAUGGAUCAGUCAAGCUUCGGGGGAUAGAGUGGAUGGGGAGGAUGAUGGAUGCGGAACAGCUGCCCACACAAAACUGGACAAAGAAGACGACAUCAGGGAGUCAGCACUUUGAGUGGAUGCUGAUGGCGUUAGGGUGAAAUGGUGGACCUAAGCGCUGGGCGCAGCACGUUCUCAGGACACGGGGAACUGGUGCCAAGCUGCUGCCCUCUUCACUAAGAUGCUCUCGCCUGUUAUCCUGACAAAAGUCCUCAUCUGCGGAACUUUCAUGAAAGCCUCUAAAAACUCCACCAGUGACACAGGAAAGUGGCAGUGACGCAGCCACAGGGAGCGUUGAGGCUCUUCUUGAUGCCAUGAAAAGAAAUCUACUCCCAUGGAGCCAUCAUGGCCUGUUCCCACGGAGCCAUCUUUUCUUCUGAGGAUACAGAAAGCUGUGAUGUAACUGGGAGCUCCACAAGAGACAUGAAUUCUACAGCUAGAAACGAGCAGGUCUUUGCCAAGACUAAGGUCUAGAGCAGUGAAAAUAUUGCUGUUAAAGACAUCUCGUACAGGAGCAGACUAGUGAGCCACGAUGUGAUCCCAGGAUUCUUUCUGUCUGGAGAUUAUAACUACAUGUCUUUGGAACAACUCAACGUUGUUUGUAAACUCUCCGCUUUGGCCUCCCAGCCCGUGUUGUUUUGUAGCCGUCCUGAUAUUUUUGUCACAAGCGAAGAUUUGCCAGCGGCCUCAGCAACAUUUAAGAGAAAAAAGUGAUGGUAUGAUAAUGGUGGUCAACUUAUUUAACAUGUUUUAUAUUUUAGGCGAAGUAUCUUACCGGUAAACCCAAAUGCUGCUUGAUUUUUCCCCCUUCAUUUAAGGGACCAGUGAACAUGUUUUUGCCUCAUCCCCAUCUAAGGAGUUGAUUUGUCUUCUGAUAUUCACACUGAAUUGACGGUAUCCAGUUUCUGUUCUUGUUCUGUGCUGGAGAGCCAGGAGUGUGCUCAGAGCAAAUGAACAGCGUGGAGCCGAAAGACAUGAAAUCACACUUUUUGUUAGGUGGCACUAAACUCUGACCUCUAUAAAACUCUGGACGUGGCAAUGCUUGAAUUCUCUUUAUGUAUCUCCUUUGGUGCUGAGUGUCCCAGUGGGUAUCAUGGCAGAACUGAAAGCGGACACUGCAAACUUUCUGCCUCAGAGAGCCCUCCCUUCCCUGGACCUCACAGGCCAUCUGUGGGAAGAACAUGAGAUGGAAUGAGCCAGGCAGUCCUGCCAGGUCCAGCCUUAGCUCUGUUGGCAUCUCAAGGUGGGAGCCAGUGCUUGA
Molecule: non-coding RNA, 3554 nt
Organism: Peromyscus maniculatus bairdii (prairie deer mouse)
Lineage: Eukaryota; Metazoa; Chordata; Mammalia; Rodentia; Cricetidae
Source: RefSeq, a predicted model, not a curated record